GAGAGAUUAGCUCAUCUGGAUAGAGCGGAAGGCGGCAGGUUCGAGUCCUGUCUCUCUCA
Molecule: transfer RNA, 59 nt
Filed under: Treponema sp.
Lineage: Bacteria; Pseudomonadati; Spirochaetota; Spirochaetia; Treponematales; Treponemataceae
Description: tRNA-Ser
Rfam family: tRNA
About the family: Transfer RNA (tRNA) molecules are approximately 80 nucleotides in length.
Source: RNAcentral